Molecule: transfer RNA, 87 nt
Filed under: Candidatus Saccharimonadota bacterium
Lineage: Bacteria; Candidatus Saccharimonadota
Description: tRNA-Leu
Rfam family: tRNA
About the family: Transfer RNA (tRNA) molecules are approximately 80 nucleotides in length. Their secondary structure includes four short double-helical elements and three loops (D, anti-codon, and T loops).
Source: RNAcentral
GCCCGAGUGGCGGAAUUGGCAGACGCGCUAGCUUCAGGUGUUAGUGUCUUCGCGGACGUGCAGGUUCAACCCCUGUCUCGGGCACCA